UGGGGAAUAUUGCACAAUGGGCGCAAGCCUGAUGCAGCCAUGCCGCGUGUGUGAAGAAGGCCUUCGGGUUGUAAAGCACUUUCAGCGAGGAGGAAGGGUAGUGUGUUAAUAGCACAUUGCAUUGACGUUACUCGCAGAAGAAGCACCGGCUAACUCCGUGCCAGCAGCCGCGGUAAUACGGAGGGUGCAAGCGUUAAUCGGAAUUACUGGGCGUAAAGCGCACGCAGGCGGUUUGUUAAGUCAGAUGUGAAAUCCCCGCGCUUAACGUGGGAACUGCAUUUGAAACUGGCAAGCUAGAGUCUUGUAGAGGGGGGUAGAAUUCCAGGUGUAGCGGUGAAAUGCGUAGAGAUCUGGAGGAAUACCGGUGGCGAAGGCGGCCCCCUGGACAAAGACUGACGCUCAGUGC
This 406-nucleotide ribosomal RNA is filed under the name uncultured bacterium. Its description in RNAcentral is "partial 16S ribosomal RNA". It matches the Rfam family "Bacterial small subunit ribosomal RNA", at positions 355 to 754 of the family's 1533-position model. The record is from RNAcentral.